UCAAACAGCUUGAACUAAUAUCUUUGGGCUUAAUCCACAUUUGAUCAUCAUAUAACUGAGCUGAAACACAUGAAUGAUUAAUCUAUUGAUAUCAACUACAGUAGUACAAAAUUAUUUGAGACUAUCUCUUCAGUUUGAACGAAGACUUCAUCACAUGCAGAUUUCAAAACCUAUUGCAAACCCAAAUCAUUUCUAAUUCCUCGUUUUAAUAAACAAAUGUUAACUAUAUUGCAGCCUUAACUUGAUGACCAUAAGUUUACAUAGUCCAGGACAGCCCAAUUAAAUUCAUACAAUGCAAAAAUAAACUACACUAAUUAUCUAGUUAACUAUCCUAGCAUCAUGAUCUAAAUGGAUAUGGCUUCCAGAAACAAGUGAACAAACAUGUCAUUGCAUUUCAACUCCAAAAUUACACCAGGUCAAGUUCAAGAAUGUGUACCUGAAUAUGUGAAAUACAAGCGAAAGAAGAAUGAGUCAAUCAGCAGCGAACAGAGAUCCACUCCAAAAAUACACCAGGUCAAGUUCCAGAAUGUGUACCUGAAUAUGUGAAAUACAAGAGAAAGAAGAAUGAGUCAAUCAGCAACGAGCAGAGAUCAAUGACAACAUCACUAUGGCACUCGAAAACCCCAGAUAAUAGGAGGAAUAGCCCAUAAGUGAAUUCCAACCAGAGAAGAAGUAAUAACAAACAGCCCGGGGAUGAUUAAACCAAAUUGGCUCAAAUAACCAGCUAUGAACCAAGGGAAUAUAACCAAUUGACUUCUAAAAUAUACCCAAAACAGGAGCAAACCAACAAGAAUUGUUAUAAUCAAACUCAAAUAACGCUACAAUUAUCCGGAUGAUUUCAAAAUUUAACUACAAAUCAGAUUGAGCUACCAGCUACCCAAAUCACUUAGAACCUUUCAGAAAAACUGAAAAUAAUACAGGAAACAACUGUGAAACAGUAGGAUAUUUUUUUUUGUGAUUUUCUUUUUUGUUGUUUUUU
RNAcentral lists this long non-coding RNA (979 nucleotides) under Nicotiana benthamiana. RNAcentral describes it as "long non-coding RNA (NBEN_LNC014253)". The record is from RNAcentral. Lineage: Eukaryota; Viridiplantae; Streptophyta; Magnoliopsida; Solanales; Solanaceae.